UUGGGUCGUGUGAAGUUGAUUUGUGUUGGUUUGUGCCUUAUAAAUAUGGGCAGUUGACCGGUCCAGAAUAAUUUGUCCCAAGACUUUGCCUGAAAUUCAGGAAGAUAAGGAAGCCUUUAGCGGCCAUGAGUAGUGUAACACCCCGGUUAUAAUCAUUUUAUUUUAAUUGAGUUUAAAAUGCUUUAUAUUAUUUUAUUUGACUGCUCUAUUUAAACUAUUGGUAGUAUUGAGGUAGGGUAUAAUUUUAUUAGAAUUAUCUUUAAUUUUAAUUAUUUAAAUAAUAGAAAUAUUGAGAAAUUGACUUUUGGAAAGGGAAUUAGAAUUUAAAAUAAAAUCAACAAAAAAGGUGGAAUUUAUGAGAAUUAAGGGGAGUUAGUGAAUUAAUAAAAAUAUUAUGAUUUUGUUUAAAAAGAUAGGUGAAUUAGAGUUAGGGUUAUGUUUGGGAGAAUAAGAUGUCAACAGAGUCAGAGAAAACCCUAGCAGGGCAAGAAGUAAGAGAAGAGAGAGAUCACAUUGUCGCAACUUCAAGUUUGCUAUAGAUUUAAGGUAGGGGAGAACUGUUCAUACUAUGGGUGUUAAAGCAUGUAGGAUAGAUAAUAGUCCUUCUCCUCUUUCCUUUUCUCUUUUUUCUCUUCCUCCAUAGAUUAAUGGUUGAAUUUUGCGAGGUUUGAGCAAAAUCUCCAUAAUUAGAUUGAUGUGUUUCCCUUUUGGUUAUAUUAAUCAUGCUCAGUUGUUGUUAUUAAUAUGAAUUUUGUACGAUUAUAUGCCUUAAUGAAAUUGAAGAUAUUGUUUCUCAAAUGCUUAUGUUGUGUGUUGAUGAAAAACCAUGAUGGAUUGAUGUGAUAAUAUCAAGUUGGUAUUUUGAUGUGAUAAUAUCAAGUUGGUAUUUUGAUGUGUUAAUUAUGGUAUGAUUUGAGUAGUAUAUGUUGUUAUGCAUUUUGAGGUUGUUAAGAAUCAAAUAAUGGAGUUUUGGGUGUGUUUUUAUGGGGAAGAAUCAGAGAAAUCUCUAAAAAUCACAGGUAGACAUAGGAGGAGAUUGAUCGCAUUGUUUCAUGUGUAACUUGAGUCUCCUAGGUCCGUUUGAUGUGUCGUCUAUUGUGUUAGAAAGCUAGUGUAAUAAUAUUUAUUUUAAAGUGUGGAAAUUAGGUCUGGAAGUGCUAAAACAAUAGCAGUUAUCUAGUUUUUAUACAAUAAGUAUAGUCAAAUUUUAGUCCCGCGCGUUGGUUAUCUUGUUUCAUACAUAACUUGAUUUCCGUAAGUCCUUUAAGAAUAAAAUUUCCUUGUGUUGUGUGUGUAUGUGUGUGUGAGAGAGUGUGUGUACGCGCGUGUGUAUUUAUUUUCAUAUCAAUAAUAAAUUGAAUUUAUUACAAAUAAAUAAAGAAUUGGGGAGGUAGAUAACCUUCACCGACGAACUCAGGGUUUUCGAGUGGAUUCUGAGGUCUUUGAAAAUAGUUCUUCUUUCAGGAUCCAGACUGAAUGUGCUUUAAGCUUUGAAGUGUUUCCUUUGGGUGGAAGGAGUUCGAGGUGUGCCUCCUUCCACAUGCCUUCUUAUAUGUGGGCAAGGAUCGACUUAUUCAGGGAGUAGCUUUAGGUCGGCUUAUGAUUUGGGGCUCAUUGAAUUUCUUUGUUUGAUACUUUGACGAGGCGGUUUUGCUCCCCAAAACAUGUGAAACUUCUUGGGAUGAGGAAACUUUGUUCUGAACCUUUCCUCCGGGGUGGUGAGACCGAUAAACAGUCUGAAAGGGUUUUCAAGAUCCGAGGUACCUUUGCUUGGAACCUAUGGCUAGUUUAUCCUUUCGCGUUUGCCGAUCUAAUAAAAGGUGACUUGCUUGCCAACUUUUCCAAGCCUUGAGUGAUUUCACUCGGGAAUGUUGCAUUUAUGCUUGGAUACCCCUGCUCUCUAUUUGGUAGUUUCAAAUUCUCUUAAAUUGACAAGGCUAGGCCAAGCAAUAAGGGGGACAUUAGAUUUUACCGGAGGCAUGACCUUGAUAGGCUGAAGGUCUUAGAUUUCUUUUUAAAGGUGCCCCAAACUCGAUUUGUGCCUGAGAUUAACUAUGAACUUGAUGUAUCUUCUUGGUAGCCACAAUUGAUAUCCCAAUUAGGAUUAGAAAUAAGGGCAACAUUAAACCUCGGGGUGGACUGCAACUCCUCAGGCCGUUUCUAGACCUGGCUCUCAGAGCCUUUCUUUUGUCACUUUGCAGAACUUCUGAAAAAUUGAAGAAUCGAACACUAGAUAAUCAUGGUUGAUAAGAUGGAAAGUAGAAUCGACUGCUAUAAAUCUCUGAAUUUUCAUCUGAGUACUUCUUGAUCAUGAGAUCUAAGAAGUCCGUCAAUGAUAAAUUGAAUGACGAUUCCAGAUUCGAGAACGUAAGAAUCGAGAGUUGGUUUGCUUUUGAUUUCGUAACCUAAGGAGGUUAAGAUUGACUAAAUGAGAGAUUUGCAUUUGAAUCGCAAUAUUUUAGACUUCAAGCUUUCAAUUUUGUUCAAUACUGUUCAUGAGGCAAACACAAUUUUCGUGGAAAUCGUAGGAAUCAGAAGUCAAUUCCCACAGAUGAGUCCACUAGUAUGUUUCGGAACUAGAAAUGAUGCUCAAGCUCCAUGAAGGAACAAGGAAUGAAGAUAAAUUUAUAACUACUGAUCUUUAACUAUGGCUCAGAUCUCGGUUAUGGCUGCGCGAGGUGGACCUGUAUGGUUAGCAUUCCAAUGCCCAAGUUAUUUCAAAAUUAAAAAUGAGCAUAUUGAAAUUGGAUAUUGGAGAUUGUAUACCUUCUCAUCGCUUGUGAACUAUUUUUUAUGUUUUCGGUCGAGUAGAGUAGGAUUUUAGUGGAUUUGACUUUAGUUGAUUAGGCCUUCGACAAGUCUAGAUAACUAUAAAUUAUGCCUAUGGCUUGCUCAUGUAAAUUUUUGGUUACCCUUAUUUUACAAGAAUGUAUGUUUUUGCUUAAAUGAAAAAAUAAAAGUGAGCAUACCUUAUUUCAGAAGCAUAUAAUAUUUUCCAGAACCAAUAAAUAACAUACUUUUGUAGCGUAAUUCUUUUAACAUUUGAUAUUUUUAAAUAGUUAUUCUCGAUUAA
RNAcentral lists this long non-coding RNA (3073 nucleotides) under Lathyrus oleraceus (garden pea). RNAcentral describes it as "Pisum sativum (pea) long non-coding RNA (PSAT_LNC003097)". Lineage: Eukaryota; Viridiplantae; Streptophyta; Magnoliopsida; Fabales; Fabaceae. The record is from RNAcentral.